GGAUUUGAACAAAGAACUGUAUGAAAGUGAUUGGGGACAAGCCUCCUACGAGUACAGGAGAGCAGUUACACUGAUGAUGGUGCGAGUUCAGAAACCUCUGUGCUUCAGUUUUAUGGGUAUAAUGGACCUGGACCUUGUGGCUUUUGAAUAUGCUGUCAAAUUCUGCUACACAUACUACACCAUGCUGCAUUUGAUGAGCAUUAAAGGAGUGAACUCCUAGCAAUGUCAAAAGGAACGAGUAAAAUGUUAACGAUAAUCAACAGUAUUAGUCUUACAGUGAAAAUAGCACUAGAUCUCAUUUAUUUGCAGUAGAGGCAAAUGAAACUUUAGAAGUUUCAUGCUUUAUACUUGUAUAAGAGGUUGUGUUUUUUUCUUGUUAGGAGAUCAAUAUACCGAUCUAGGAUAGUUUUAACUAUUUUCUUAUCGUCACUAUCUGAGCUAUUUUGUUUUGAUUGCUGAAGUAUUAAUAGCGAUACAUAAAUUUUAACAUUAAAAUAGAGAAGAUAGGAC
Long non-coding RNA from Nilaparvata lugens (brown planthopper), 510 nucleotides. RefSeq lists it as uncharacterized. NCBI's taxonomy places the organism in Eukaryota, Metazoa, Arthropoda, Insecta, Hemiptera, Delphacidae. The transcript is spliced from 2 exons. The record is from RefSeq and is a predicted model, not a curated record.